UUAGGCCUGUGAUAUAGGUCGCUCUAAUAUGUUCAACCUACAAAUGACUAAGGGAGUCUAACGUUAUGGCAGCUGUCAGGCCCUCCAAGCAGGGAAGGCAAAAACCGUAACCGGGACACCCACCUGCGAGAAGCGGGGUUUGAACAUGGCGAGGGACGGUAUCACGGGUUUCCG
This 174-nucleotide non-coding RNA is filed under the name Propionispora sp. 2/2-37. Its description in RNAcentral is "6S / SsrS RNA". It matches the Rfam family "6S / SsrS RNA". From Rfam's summary of the family: E. coli 6S RNA was the first non coding RNA to be sequenced, but its function was unknown until recently. It consists of 184 nucleotides that fold into an extended hairpin structure with a large single-stranded internal bulge. The record is from Rfam by way of RNAcentral. Lineage: Bacteria; Bacillati; Bacillota; Negativicutes; Selenomonadales; Sporomusaceae.